CCUACGGGAGGCAGGUCGACGAUUCCCUGAUCUAGCCAUGCCGCGUGAGUGAUGAAGGCCCUAGGGUUGUAAAGCUCUUUCAGCUGGGAAGAUAAUGACGGUACCAGCAGAAGAAGCACCGGCUAACUCCGUGCCAGCAGCCGCGGUAAU
This 150-nucleotide ribosomal RNA is filed under the name uncultured bacterium. RNAcentral's name for it is "partial 16S ribosomal RNA". It matches the Rfam family "Bacterial small subunit ribosomal RNA", at positions 338 to 524 of the family's 1533-position model. The record is from RNAcentral.